UUUAGUAUAAACGAUGAACAUAAAGUAGAAGAUCAUCGAACACGCCGGAUGCGCUGUGUAUAUGAUUAUGCCGAUUUGAUGUUUGUAUGGGUUUUUUUCCAAGGUGUAAUAUAAAUAUUACUUCAUAGAAGUUGCCUACUCCAUGGAUUCAUGCAGUACUUUUCAUCUGGAGCCGUUCUUUGGAUUAUUCAGCAAACAGUUUAUCUGAUGAAGUUUGAAUGGAACAUCUAAUUUGUAUUCAUAAUAAAUUAACAAUGUUAUUGUUAUAUUGAGAAAUGGCGAACCAGUAUUUCAGAAAUAGUGUAAAGUUACAGUGUUUCAACAAUUUUUCCUGCAGUAAAAUACAACUUUUGUUCAAAGUAGAGCAUGAUGUAGUGAAAAUUUACAUAAUUCAAGAAACAUCUUCACAUGAAUUUAAAACACGUUCAAAAUAUUUCUUAACAAUGAAAAUAUUUAAUGAAUGAAAAUAGAAAGCUAUGAAAUGAUGUGUGUUUUUGGUAAUGCUGACUCUUAAUAAAACCAGAAAAGAAGAAGAGCAGUAACCCCCCUGCAGUUGCCGGAUAGCCUAUGAAAAACUUCACCACUUCCCUUAGCUCAAAAAUUAUUUCUGUUUGAUGACGAACGCAGCAGCAUAUAAACUUGCAUUUAUGCCCCCCUGGGCCCAAAAUUGGAAUAAACUUAUCAUUUCUAAACCGACUUUGCCUAACAACAAAGACGAGCUAAUUAUGCAUGUUUUCAACACAGCGUCACGGAUUAACGUCAGAAGCUGGGUCCAAAAGAAACUCAACGAGUCUUCAAAUAGUCAAACCUAACGUUAUUCAGACCUGUGCGAAUCAUUCAAUUACUUCAUUCUCAUUAACAAUCUUACUUACUCAAAAUAGCAAAAUUCUUUUAUGCAGUUGUAAUAUUUUAUAAAUGUUUGUCAUAUUAGAUAUGAAUAAAAGUACAACUGAU
This is a long non-coding RNA of Ostrea edulis (European flat oyster), 954 nucleotides long. RefSeq lists it as uncharacterized. Lineage: Eukaryota; Metazoa; Mollusca; Bivalvia; Ostreida; Ostreidae. The transcript has 2 exons. The record is from RefSeq and is a predicted model, not a curated record.